AAUCCAUAGGUUAAUGAGGCGAACCGGGGGAACUGAAACAUCUAAGUACCCCGAGGAAAAGAAAUCAACCGAGAUUCCCCCAGUAGCGGCGAGCGAACGGGGAGGAGCCCAGAGCCUGAAUCAGCAUGUGUGUUAGUGGAAGCGUCUGGAAAGGCGCGCGAUACAGGGUGACAGCCCCGUACACAAAAGCGCAUGUGCUGUGAGCUCGAUGAGUAGGGCGGGACACGUGGUAUCCUGUCUGAAUAUGGGGGGACCAUCCUCCAAGGCUAAAUACUCCUGACUGACCGAUAGUGAACCAGUACCGUGAGGGAAAGGCGAAAAGAACCCCGGCGAGGGGAGUGAAAAAGAACCUGAAACCGUGUACGUACAAGCAGUGGGAGCACAGGUUUACCUGUGUGACUGCGUACCUUUUGUAUAAUGGGUCAGCGACUUAUAUUCUGUAGCAAGGUUAACCGAAUAGGGGAGCCGGAGGGAAACCGAGUCUUAACCGGGCGUUAAGUUGCAGGGUAUAGACCCGAAACCCGGUGAUCUAGCCAUGGGCAGGUUGAAGGUUGGGUAACACUAACUGGAGGACCGAACCGACUAAUGUUGAAAAAUUAGCGGAUGACCUGUGGCUGGGGGUGAAAGGCCAAUCAAACCGGGAGAUAGCUGGUUCUCCCCGAAAGCUAUUUAGGUAGCGCCUCGUGAAUUCAUCUCCGGGGGUAGAGCACUGUUUCGGCUAGGGGGCCAUCCCGGCUUACCAACCCGAUGCAAACUGCGAAUACCGGAGAAUGUUAUCACGGGAGACACACGGCGGGUGCUAACGUCCGUCGUGAAGAGGGAAACAACCCAGACCGCCAGCUAAGGUCCCAAAGUCAUGGUUAAGUGGGAAACGAUGUGGGAAGGCCCAGACAGCCAGGAUGUUGGCUUAGAAGCAGCCAUCAUUUAAAGAAAGCGUAAUAGCUCACUGGUCGAGUCGGCCUGCGCGGAAGAUGUAACGGGGCUAAACCAUGCACCGAAGCUGCGGCAGCGAACGUAUCACCCAAGACAACUUUGCGGAGUUGACGAUUGACGGAGCGAAGCGACGUCAAAGCGUUCAUUAAAGUCG
RNAcentral lists this ribosomal RNA (1087 nucleotides) under Salmonella enterica subsp. enterica serovar Muenchen. Its description in RNAcentral is "partial 23S ribosomal RNA". It matches the Rfam family "Bacterial large subunit ribosomal RNA", at positions 161 to 1231 of the family's 2925-position model. Lineage: Bacteria; Pseudomonadati; Pseudomonadota; Gammaproteobacteria; Enterobacterales; Enterobacteriaceae. The record is from RNAcentral.